RNAcentral lists this transfer RNA (74 nucleotides) under Chloroflexota bacterium. RNAcentral describes it as "Chloroflexi bacterium tRNA-Trp". It matches the Rfam family "tRNA". From Rfam's summary of the family: Transfer RNA (tRNA) molecules are approximately 80 nucleotides in length. Their secondary structure includes four short double-helical elements and three loops (D, anti-codon, and T loops). Further hydrogen bonds mediate the characteristic L-shaped molecular structure. tRNAs have two regions of fundamental functional importance: the anti-codon, which is responsible for specific mRNA codon recognition, and the 3' end, to which the tRNAs corresponding amino acid is attached (by aminoacyl-tRNA synthetases). tRNAs cope with the degeneracy of the genetic code in two manners: having more than one tRNA (with a specific anti-codon) for a particular amino acid; and 'wobble' base-pairing, i.e. permitting non-standard base-pairing at the 3rd anti-codon position. RNAcentral also lists the same sequence under 1 other name. The record is from RNAcentral. Lineage: Bacteria; Bacillati; Chloroflexota.
AGGGGAGUAGGCUAGAGGUAAACUGACCGUCUCCAAAAUGGUAGUCCAGGGUUCAAUUCCCUGCUCCCCUGUCA